RNAcentral lists this ribosomal RNA (251 nucleotides) under uncultured bacterium. RNAcentral describes it as "partial 16S ribosomal RNA". It matches the Rfam family "Bacterial small subunit ribosomal RNA", at positions 82 to 334 of the family's 1533-position model. The record is from RNAcentral. RNAcentral also lists the same sequence under 1 other name.
UUGGGGUGCUCGAGUGGCGAACGGGUGAGUAACACGUGAGUAACCUGCCCUUGACUUUGGGAUAACUUCAGGAAACUGGGGCUAAUACCGGAUAGGAGCUCCUGCUGCAUGGUGGGGGUUGGAAAGUUUCGGCGGUUGGGGAUGGACUCGCGGCUUAUCAGCUUGUUGGUGGGGUAGUGGCUUACCAAGGCUUUGACGGGUAGCCGGCCUGAGAGGGUGACCGGCCACAUUGGGACUGAGAUACGGCCCAG